GAUCAUGGCUCAGGAUGAACGCUGGCGGCGUGCCUAACACAUGCAAGUCGAGCGAUUACUUCGGUAAAGAGCGGCGGACGGGUGAGUAACGCGUGGGUAACCUGCCUCAUACACAUGGAUAACAUACCGAAAGGUAUGCUAAUACAGGAUAAUAUAAGAGAUUCACAUGGAUUUCUUAUCAAAGCUCCGGCGGUAUGAGAUGGACCCGCGUCUGAUUAGCUAGUUGGUAAGGUAAUGGCUUACCAAGGCGACGAUCAGUAGCCGACCUGAGAGGGUGAUCGGCCACAUUGGAACUGAGACACGGUCCAAACUCCUACGGGAGGCAGCAGUGGGGAAUAUUGCACAAUGGGCGAAAGCCUGAUGCCAGCAACGCCGCGUGAGUGAUGAAGGCCUUCGGGUCGUAAAACUCUGUCCUCAAGGAAGAUAAUGACGGUACUUGAGGAGGAAGCCCCGGCUAACUACGUGCCAGCAGCCGC
Molecule: ribosomal RNA, 476 nt
Filed under: uncultured bacterium
Lineage: Bacteria
Description: bacterial SSU rRNA
Rfam family: Bacterial small subunit ribosomal RNA
Source: RNAcentral